Lytechinus pictus (painted urchin) is the source of this 5579-nucleotide long non-coding RNA. RefSeq lists it as uncharacterized. The transcript has 2 exons. The record is from RefSeq and is a predicted model, not a curated record. NCBI's taxonomy places the organism in Eukaryota, Metazoa, Echinodermata, Echinoidea, Temnopleuroida, Toxopneustidae.
GUAUCAAGACGUCUGAGUUUCAUCAUGGUGGAUUUUACAAGUCGCGCGGCCUGACAUUCUCGGAAAAUCAGACAACAUUUGAGGUCUACUUCGGGUAUUUAGCUAAAUUGGAUUUUGAUCUAGUGACAUAAGACUGCAAAGAGUCUGAAACUUUCAUUUAUAUGUAUUGUUAAGAACAGAACGAGGAGAAUUGUGCUUUUUUCUACAAUGUCGGCUCAGGAUCGCCCAUUCUCAUAACUGUACAAAGAGAGGUUGGAUCGCACCAUUUGUGUCUACGGGGGGAUUCCAGCUUGAAUGACAGGACGUUCAUUGCCGACACGUACACCGCAACACUCUGUAUUCAAAAUACAUGUAUGGCAAAUUUGAGACGUAAGCCACGCGUAAAUUACCUGGAACUUUCACGCGGGCCAUCAUUACCAAGCAGUCGUACAAAGUCUGAACGUUGGUCAUCUAAGAAGCUCUACCCUCUGACAGUAAUCGACACCAAAGUGGAAAAUGGCAGUUUGAAAGUAUUAGUGCAUUAUGUCGGAUGGGGAAACAAGUACAAUGAAUGGCGUGAUGCUGCUGAAAUUGUAGACAUACCCUUGGAAUAUCUGCAAUCAGAUGAUUCGUCAAAGAAAUUGUUUUAUAUGAAUUUGGCUACUGCCAUCAAAGAGGCACUGCACGGGCAACGUAAAGUCAACAGUGUAGUUGAACUUCGGAUCCCCAUCGUAAAAGAUAUUUUUGAAGAUCUUCGACGUAGAUGUAAAUGUAAUUACCAUUCAUCUGCACCAGCAGCGCUUAUUUUGAGAAAUUUGAAAGCUCUAAAUGAAUGUGUGGGGGACAGAUGGUACUACAGAGUAUUCAACAAGGCAGGGGACUUUGCAUACAUCAGAGAUGGGACAUUCUCGUGUCGACUAGUAGAACGCGUACCCCUGGUGGAAUUUUCUGGCGAAGGAAUGCCCGAAUUUACCCACCGUGGAUUUGUUAUUGUUGUCAAAUUUCAACGCAUGCUUGGCAACAAGAUGGAUUUUGCCUUGUAUGAAGCUGCAAACAAUUGAAUAAUACAUUGUGUACUUCUGUGCAGAUGUUUGUAUUAUUAAACAUGUUUACAUUAACAUGUAAUUUGACCUUACAUACAUUGCAGUAGAAUGUUCAACAGUGCAAAAUAUUCAUGACAUGUUUUUAAACAGCUAGAAGUGGCUUUAUUGAUUCACCACCCUGGGUAUUCGAAACAACAUAAUACUUUUAAAAAAAUUCCAAAGAAUAGUAUUCAUGUAUGUUUUAUUUUAAAUUAAAUGUAUGUAUAUGUUUAGCAAUUUGUAUUAGGUAUAUUGUACUUGUAUUCAGGAUUCAUUUGAUGCCUUGAACCAAUGUACUUUGUAUACAUGUAGUUAUAGCCAUGGCUAAUGUAAGUAGCAUGUGUGUUCUGAUAUCUUUUGCACUAUCUUGUGCUGUGUUGUUGGCAAAUGGUAUGCCACAGCCCACCGAAGAGUAUCCAUAUAUUGUUGAGCUUGAUGUGAAUAACUUGCUCUUGUACAAUAUUGCCUCUAAAAUUAGCAGUGGCCCAGAAUUGAGUGAUGAUGAGGUUCGUUCAGUUUUGACCAAGGUACUAAACACCCAUCACAUCACUCUUGAAGGAAUAGAUCUGUCUUCUGUUUUCAAAACCCUUAAACAGAAAGUAAAGAGUUUGUUUCAAAAAUCAAAAAAAUGUGUCAAGGCUGGAGGCAAAUCAGUGGAGAUGCAAUUAAGGAAAUGGAAAGAAACGGAGUAUUCAUUAAAACUACCUCAUAAAUCAGGCAGCCCCACGAAGCGUAAACUACAGGAAGAUGUUCAGGAAGAAAAAAGUAAACGGAUUAAGUUAGAAAGUGAAUUAACUGUGUUAACAAAUAAACUGGAACAAACAGAAGGCAAAAACCUAGAACUAGAACGUAGAGUUCAACGCCUGAAAAAUCCAAUGAAAAAACAAAAAGGUGGGCGAGGAAAAAACAAAAAUAAACUCAAAUAUACGCCAUCCCAAAAAUACAGACACCAAGCUAAUGCACUGAAAGAAUUUAAAAGUACAGUACAAGAAGGGGCAAAAAAUGCUGGUUUUACCCCCAUUAAAAUUGAAAUUCAAAAUGACAAGGCCAAGACAAUCAAUCUCAUCUUUGAGGAGAGAGAAGGACCUAUUACUGAAACUGACAUUGAUGAGAUGCUGUUUAUUUUGGACUCCUUUAAUAUCCCACAAAAGGGAUAUCAUGAAUUAGCACAACGCUUUGCAGCUCUGCCACGAUUGUUUUCAAUCAAUGAAAGAAAACAAUCUAUAAACUCUGAAUGCCGGGUCAAAGAAAUUGAUGUAGUACAUGGAAAAAUAAGAAUCACUGGAGUUUACCGUUCCUUAGAAGACUGUCUAACAUCAGUACUCUCUGAUCAAAAAAGGUCUCACUUAAUUGUAAAUAAUAAAGUGAAAAUAAAAAUCAGUGGUGAUGGUACAAGAGCCGGUAAAAAAACACAUCUAGUCAAUGUCACAAUUACAAUUAUAGGAGAAGAAAGCUGUAAAUCUGAACAAGGUAAUUACCUACUUGCGAUUUUAAAAUGCCCUGAAACUCAUUCUUGUCUGAAAGUAGCUUUGUCAGAUCUGAUAGAGGAGUUUGAUGGGUUGAGUGAAAUAACUAUUGAUGGUAAAAUUGUGAGUGUGGAAAAAUACCUGGGUGGCGAUUUAAAAUUUUUAAAUCAAGUUACAGGAAUUGCUAGCUUCGCAAGCAAGUACUCUUGUUUGUGGUGCAAGUGCCCAAAGGAAUCUCGAUAUGACAUGACAAAAACAUGGUCCAUGACAGAUGAAAUGAAAGGUGCUCGUUCUGUGAAGGAAAUUUUAAACUGUGCCUCGAAGAAGAUGUUUGGGUGCAUUGCAGAGCCACUUUUUAGAUCUAUUCCUGUCAUUAAUAUUGUUCCAGAUACAUUACAUUUGUUUCUGAGAAUUUCUGACCAGAUGAUUUAUCAGAUCAUAAAAUACUUACAAGAUGAAGACAACUUUGUUCGGAUAUCUGAAGAACGGCUUAGCAAGUGUCAACAUUUACAGCGUUUUAAACAGUUUAUUGAAAAUGUUGGUAUCCCAGAUUGGAAAUUCUUUAUCAGUGAUGGUAAACUGAAUUACGACUCAUUUACUGGCCCUGAACAUCGCAGAAUUAUGGAAAAUAUAAACUUUGACACCCUUAUCCCAGACCAUCCAAAACUGUCUGGUAUUAAGUCUUUGUGGACCGAUUUCAAAGUGUUGAUGGAUAGCCUAAAUCAGAACAUGUCUGAUUAUCAGAUUUCAGAUUUUGAAAAGGCCGCACGAAAAUGGGUGGAUUUGUAUGGCAGUAAUUUGUUUCUUUCUAAAGAUGUCACUCCAUACAUGCAUAUUUUCUCCAACCAUUUGCCUGAAGCUAUGCGGUUACACGGAAACGUUGUAGAUUUUUGUCAACAAGGACUUGAGAAACUAAAUCACCUGGUCACAAAAUGGUAUUUUCGCUCUACGAAUUUCAGUAAGGCCGCUCUUAAACAGAUUAUACACAAACAAUUCAGGAUCAAUAAACUAGAGGGAAAGUGUAGGCGUGCCCCAAAAUUUCAAAUGACUUGUACUGCUUGUAACAAAAGUGGUCAUAAUAAGAGAACUUGUAAAGGGCCAGAAAAUACAAUUGAAUUUAAUGUGGAGCCUUGAAACAUUUGUUUCAAAGAAGAAUUUUGAAGUUGGCUUCAAUUGAUUCGGCUAGCCAACUAGAAUGAAACAUUUUUUGUGUAUAUACAUGGCUAUACAUUAGCUUAUGUGUGUUUGGAUUUAAGCUUUUACGCUUUACAUUUGGGUAGAUGUAAGCUGGUAUUCUCUAUUUUAUCAUUACUUGAGUCCUUGUCUGUUAUAAAUUGAGAUGCCUACAAUAACUUAUUUCUUAUCCAUAAUAUAUAUGUAUGGGUGGUGCAUAUAUACUGGCAGGAAAACUUAAUGUAUUGAUUUAGGCAGUGAUUGUUUCAUGUUCGCAGUGAGCAAAGUUUUGCAAGAUUACCCGACAGUUGUCGUUUUUGUCACCAUGAUAAUUUCACACCUUGAUGUACGCAGUUAAUUGCAGUAUGCAUUGCAUUCUGUAUCAUGUCAACAUUCACGUUUGUAACAACUAAAAAGCUGUAAUAAAAAAAAUAAUUAUAUGAAAGUGAAACGUGCUAAUAAUUGACCAUUGGUCUGCAUCAUACACCUCAUUUAUAUUUUUAUGCUGUUAUACAAAUUGCAAUAUGUGUGCUAUUGUUUACCUAUUUUGUGUCAUUUUAGAUACAGUUUUAACUUAAAAAUUAUUGUACAUUACAACAUCAAUCUCAUGUCUGUAUUUUUUUUGUAAUGUGUGCUAUUGACAACUCAUCGUGCAACUCAAAAGAGGUUUUGAUAUAACGUUAAUAUUUUUUUGCCAAACUGGUCAAAGCUUGCCAAAGAAAAGUUACAAUUGUUUAUCUGUCAAGUUGUUUUUCAAAUGUAUUUUAUUAUACUUCGGUUUGGAAGUGAAUGGAUUGUACAGGGUAUUACUAUUAGCAGUACAAGGUAUGCUCAGGAAUCACGAGGCUUAAAUAUGCAAUUCCAUUUUUCAUCAAAUUGAUCCAAGCUUGCCAAAGUUAUUUGUGUAUCUUUAUAUCCAUAUUUAUAAAUAUAAAUGCAAUACAAAGAACAUAAGCAUAAUGUAAACCAAUUUACUAGUGUUUGAACUGCCGAAACUGUGCUUAUAUGCAAUCAAAUCUUUAAAAAGAAUUUGUGGUUACAUAACAUUUAAAAAAAUGAAAACAAAAAAAUAAACACUGACAUCAUACAUGUGCCAAGUUCACACACACAAAAAAAUAAAAUGCAACAGUGUAAGACCUAGAGCCAAGCAUGAUGAUGUACGUACUAUGUUUGUUACAUUUUACAUACUACUGUGCAUAGAUUUGUGCAUGUAUUGAAAUGAUGUGUUUGAUAUAUUGUGUUAUAAUUUUUACAAGAGCUGUCAUACAUUAACACUGAGCUCUUUGGGGAGUGCAAGAAAUACUCCGCACAAAGAAAUUACAGAGGCAUAAAUGUUACCAAAGAUUUUCAUGAACUCUACUACUUUUGUGAAUUGUGUUUUCCAAACUUGAUCUAAUGUUUCUGAGCCUGAUGAUUUAUGCUGGUUGAAUGUAUACAUGUACUUAUUGCUGUACAUAGACUUGUGCAUGUAUUGAUAUAAUGUGUUUGAUAAUUGAUAUAUUGUACUUUGUUUGAUAUACUGUACUAUGACAAGUGUUGCCAUACGGUACACAGCUCUUUGGGAAUACUCCACACAAGGAAACUAUAGAGGAAUAAAUGUUACCAAAGAUUGAAUGUACUCCACUACUUUUGUGAAUUGUGUUUUCCAAACUUGAUCUAAUGUUUCUGAGCCUGAUAAUUUAUGUUAGUUAAAUGUUGUAUACAUGUACUUAUCGUUGUACAUAGACUUAUGCAUGUAUUGAAAUAAUGUGUUUGAUAUACUGUGUUUUAUAUUUGACCAGAACUGUCAUACAGUAUACACUGAGCUCUUUGGGGAGUGCAAGAAAUGCUCCACACAAAGAAACUACAGAGGAAUAAAUGUUACCAAAGAUUUCAUGAA